RNAcentral lists this ribosomal RNA (494 nucleotides) under uncultured bacterium. Its description in RNAcentral is "partial 16S ribosomal RNA". It matches the Rfam family "Bacterial small subunit ribosomal RNA", at positions 28 to 507 of the family's 1533-position model. The record is from RNAcentral.
GACGAACGCUGGCGGCGUGCUUAACACAUGCAAGUCGAACGGUGAAGCGCCUUCCUUUUUGGUGGGUGUGGAUGAGUGGCGAACGGGUGAGUAACACGUGAGUAACCUGCCCCCUUCUUCUGGAUAACCGCAUGAAAGUGUGGCUAAUACGGGAUAUUCUGGGUCUGUCGCAUGAUGGGUCUGGGAAAGAUAUUGUUUCGGUGGGGGAUGGGCUCGCGGCCUAUCAGCUUGUUGGUGGGGUGAUGGCCUACCAAGGCGGUGACGGGUAGCCGGCCUGAGAGGGUGGACGGUCACACUGGGACUGAGCCACGGCCCAGACUACUACGGGAGGCAGCAGUGGGGAAUAUUGCACAAUGGGCGCAAGCCUGAUGCAGCGACGCCGCGUGAGGGAUGGAGGCCUUCGGGUUGUGAACCUCUUUCGCCAGUGAAGCAGGCCUGCCUCGUUUGUGGGUGGGUUGACGGUAGCUGGAUAAGAAGCGCCGGCUAACUACGUG